Molecule: non-coding RNA, 4512 nt
Organism: Ictidomys tridecemlineatus (thirteen-lined ground squirrel)
Lineage: Eukaryota; Metazoa; Chordata; Mammalia; Rodentia; Sciuridae
Source: RefSeq, a predicted model, not a curated record
AGCACAUUUUUCCUUUGAACUGAUGAAAAGAUCCUUGGGCGAUUUUGAAGGCUGUGCCGAACGUUUGCGAGGAGUGAAGUAAUUCACAGGGGGGUUUUGCUUGGCUUGUACAAACACACACCAUGGACUCCAGGAAAACAGACACAGAAUCGGUUUCCUUGACUUCUUGGGUCUAGGAGGAGCUUUUGCUCCUGUGGCAUGAUUUCUGGAAGCCCUGACCAAGUUACUUCUUCCCUGAGAACGCAUCUGACACGUCUGUACUAAGCUGCUGGUUUACCUACAGCUUUUUACCAAACCAAAGGAAGCCAGACCCUGCCAUCUUGAUCCAGGAGGGCCAGCCUCAGAGGGACAAAGGAGACUCCACGUCCUGCUUCCUAGGAAGGAAGUCACAGUGCUGGGGAUGAAACCCACAGACUCCUGCCAUACUAGCAAGUGCUCUACCACUGAACUGUGCCCUCGGCCCAGUCCUGUCUUUUAAAAUAUCCAAAGACGAACUGAAAACUGAAAUGAAUGAAGAGGAGGCAAGGAGCCGGACUGCUUCUGAGCCCAUUCCAGAAAAAACAGUUGGCAUCAAUGACAGUGAUGUUUACUAGAAAACUAACCUGCUUCCAACAGACAGUAGACAAUGGCUAUCCAAUAAUGUAAACCUUUGUGUCAAAGGAAGAAGGAAAAGCGCACACAGGGCGGGUGUGACCGACUCUGCCUGACCCAGCCGGGACUCUCCUGGACUCUGCAGCCAUCCAGGGAAUGAAUGCUCUGCCGUCCUGAGGGUGAUAGGUCAAAGGCUUCCGUGGGCCUCAGACAUAUGUGCUGUGGGACUUAAGGUCAAGGAGCCAGAAUGAUAUGCUGGGGGAAGGCUGAACUAGACUUUGCCAGUCCUGCAUAGAAGCCCUACCCUACCUUGGGCCAACACUGUCCUGAGAGCCUCAGUGUGACUUUCACUGUGACUCCCUGUGACUCUAACUGCCUGACUUUGAUGACAGUCUCAUUAAGGGUUCCUGGGGUUCGCCACAACUUGAAACCCACCUUCUGCAGCCGUGUUCCUCCUCCAGACUCUUUUGCCCAAAUUUUGUGAUGGCAACUGAAAGAAAAUGCUCCUGCCUGCUGACUGGGUCCUGAUCUUUCCUAGCCUGCAAGGAUCUGGCUGGCUCCUCUGGAAGCAGGAGCUGGAGUGGAGGAAAGAGUAGGAAAUGUCAUCUGGUCUUCAUUUGCUAUCCUUCCUGAGGAAACUUCCUUGGAAAAACUAAAUGGAGAGGAAAACAGGAGAGGAGCCACCAGGUAGCAUCCAGGAAGAGAGAAAAUGCAAUAAACAGCAGGAUCUUUAUUCAUAUUCAUAGGAGGCUCAUGCCCAAAUAUAUAGCAUUUUCUGUGCAUGUAAAUGUCAUUUCGCACUCUUGUGUGUCUCAAAUAUAAGUGUGCAGAUAAACCAUCCCAGUGCAAGUCCAAUAUAUUUACACAUGUAUAAUGGAUUCAAUCAUCAGAGUCCAUAAACAUUCUUUCCAUAGUUAUUAGUAUUGACCUUCACAUAGAUGUCCAUCAAAGGGAUCCCAGCUAUUAGAAUCAUGCCAAACAGAGAGAGGUCCCUGUGUAUGUGUUGAUUAAAUGGAUCCGUAAACAUAUCAUUGAUCUAAAAUGCACUUUCUUGUUUUACAUUUUUAACAUCUGAAAUGGAGAUGAGAGUUGCAAUUGAUGUUUAAUUGUUUUCCUUUUCCCUCUCUUUGUGAUACCUUAUUGUAAAUGGCAUCUUAGAUCCAAUAAGACACAGUAAAGGAAAAUAGUGAGGGGAGUGUGGCUUGGGCAGGUUAUUUAUUCCAAGCUUUCUUUCUUUUUCUUUUUUCUUUUUUUCCCAGGAAUAAGAUGGAGGUAGCAUCCAUGUCAGGGUCCUUGAGAGGAUUAAUCAGAAUGAUUAUUUAUAGCACCCUUGUUAUGAAACAUGACAAUGCUCCAAGCACCUUACGUAUCAUUAUCAUGGUUACUAGCAUCUGUGCUUAAGAACAGAGAAAUAGCACAUCAAACAAAUUCGCCUUUCAUUAGUACUCAUACUCUGCCCCAAAUCAAGCUUUGAGGAAGAAAAAAAAGCUGCUGUUGUUGGUGAAUGGAGAGUUUUUUUUUUUAGUUGAAAAACUUGAAAAAAAUUAAUUCUGAGGGGUUGGGGUACAGCUCAGUAGUGGCAUGCGCUUGGCAUGCGUGAGGUGCUGUAAAGAAUAACAUACUGGGACUACCACAGCUAAAUACUACAGAGCAAAUCCCUUCACAUACAUUUACUUCUAUUUUAUGUGCUGUGGACCUUUGCCUCUCUAUUUGCUGUAGUUUGUCUUUUCUUAUAGCUUCAGUUCCAAACUAAAUAGCACUAAUCCGAAUGCAUACCUCCUUGGGUGCCAGCGUUUAGCCCUGUGUCUGCGCCUGCCAUGUAUGUACAUACUGGCGCGUCUCUCCGUGGGUGUGUAUAGUCUGUUCUCACAGUGACUUGGGGGUGUGUAAAUGCAUGUGGGGGUGUGAGAUCUCACUAGCAGCCACCAUCAGUGCCACUCACUGGUCCUGUUCUCUAAACCGGUUCUUUGGAGGUUUGGCUUUUGGUAAUUAAUACUGAAUGGCUAAAACACAGAGGUACGUUUUCCUGGAAACCAGCAGUCUAUAUCUGCGACUUUUAUUGGCAGACCUGGCUCCCAGUAAAUGCAUUCCUUGGCAUCUCCCAGAAUGUAACUCACUUGAUGAAGCGGCUUUGCUUUUUCUGUAACGUGUACAUCAAUUAAAGGGGGCCGCCUAGAAGGAAUGUGUAGUUGGUGGCUGAGCGUCCCAAUUCCAAGUCCCUCUCCAGAGACAAAACACAUCUCUCUGGUCUGUGCCUGGGAGUCUGAGAUAGUCUCUACGAUGGAAGUAGCCUCCUCACUGGGUUCCAGAGGCUGUGAGAGUUGCAGUGUGUGAAAACAAGGAGCCUGGCCCCAGCGGCAUGUUUUUUUUCCCCCCAAGACCCUCUUCUCUGAGGAAGCUAGGCCUGAAUCGGGGGAUGAAGUCAGCUGCAGAGGCUCGGUGGAGAUGAGACCACCGACUGCAGGGGGCGCUCGGAGCACGCGCAGUGUCCAACUGCCAGCCUCUGAGCGGCCGGCUGUGCUUGGCUUCCGAGGCUCGGGACUAGCCCAGGGAUCUACAUCCCCUAGCCGGGGAUCCCCAGCCCCGGACGGUCCCACGGCCUAGGAUCUUGCACAUUUUCCUUUCUUUUUUGCCUUCCCUUGCUGGGAAGAGAUAGAAAGCCUACAAAGGGAGGAUGGGGCUCCGCACCACUAUUUCCAGAUCCAGACAGCCCCCAAUGGCGACGCCCUCCAGGCGCUCGCGGGAGGCCUUUUGCAGAAACUCAGGUGCUGGCAUUGUCCCAGCACUGAGAGGUGCCAACGCACGGCUCCGGCCCAGGGCUCCCUACCGCUCUCCACAGGUGCGGGGUCCGAGGCGGUCUGCUCUUUGAGCACACAGGCCCAGCCACACAGUGGUACGCGCCCUUAUAGGACUAGGGACUUCGGGAGGAAUGUCCCAGAGUUCGGGCGGGCAGAGCACGCGGAGGGGCCGAGGGUCCCGAAGCUCGGGCUCUGGGAAGGAAGGUUCGGGGCAGCUCUGGUGCCCGGGUCCGCCGCAGCGCGGGGCUGGUGGCCGGGCAAGAGCUCUCCUUCUACAAAGGUGCAGCUGACUUCAGCCUGCAUGGGGUUCCGGAGUCUUUUGUGGGUCUGUUCGGCUGAUCAAAGCCUUUCCUCCAACACCCUUUGCCAAGGCGCAACUGUGCAGGAGCGCGCGCUUUCCGCUCCAGCCGGGGAAGGCGCCUUCGCCACGCCAUUCUCCGACGGCCGGCUCCCGCCCGCACCCCGCAGGCUCUGAAGCCGGGGACCCGCCAGCACUUCACACAGAGUUUGGAAGGUGGAGGGGCCUCUCUUGCCCUUUCCAGGCCCUCAAGUGCGGCAGCCGCUUAAGUUCUGUUGGGGACCUGAAUGGGGAGAAACCGAGGCGCGGGCAGACCCACUUACAAACAACUCGUUUCUGAUCAUCCUCCCCUUUACAAGUUUUAUUCUAAUUUCAGAUUAUGAAAGGUGCCAGUUUGACUCUCCAGCUACCUCUGCCUAGACAAAGAAUGCCCUGAGCCUUUUGUGGCCAGGCAUCAAAGUUAAAGAUUCACUUGCCAGAAGCCUGGUGACCCCAGUUUACUGCUCAGCUAGACUCAGAGCCCCGAAAACGCUUUUCACCGAGACUGAAGUUUUCCUACAAAGGGGUGACAAAAGGAACUGAUUCCUAGGAGUAAUAAUAUCUCUCUCUCUCUCUUUCUCUCUCCCUCCCCCCUUCCUUCUCUCUCUCAAUAAGGGGGUGGGGACAGUUUGGGAAGAUGACAUUAAAUUAUCCUAUCAUACGAACCUCCCCUACUGGGCCGCGGCGUCUAAGACAGCCACUAUCCGAUUAAUUCAAUCAUGUAGAUAGGUAACACAGAUCACUUUACCUUGGAAACAAUCGAAAAACAAACUCUUUUCAUUUAUA